Molecule: long non-coding RNA, 286 nt
Filed under: Homo sapiens (human)
Lineage: Eukaryota; Metazoa; Chordata; Mammalia; Primates; Hominidae
Description: non-protein coding lnc-PABPC4L-15:1
Source: RNAcentral
AACUCAACGGACUUCUCAUGCUGGUCUUCAUCCUGGUUGCUAUCCUCCUGCAUAGGAUAAAGACAUUUGGCACCACUAUUGGCACCUGCUUCGGCCACUGGCUGGAUGUCUCAUCCUUCAUUUACUUUCUCGCCUACUUGUGUGAAGCCCAGAUCAUCACGCUCCAAAUGUCAGCACUGGCUAUGACAUGUAUGGCCACUGCAUUUUCCUGUUCAUCACCUGUAACAUUCAUAUCCAUGCCCUCUUCUACCCCUUCUGGCUGCUGGUGUGUGGGCUGCCCCUCCUG